UACGAAGAGGGCUAGCGUUGUUCGGAAUCACUGGGAGUAAAGCGCACGCAGGCGGAUCGAUAAGUCGGGGGUGAAAGCCCGGGGCUCAACCUCGGAAUUGCCUUCGAUACUGUCGGUCUCGUGUCCGGGAGAGGUGAGUGGAAUUCCUAGUGUAGAGGUGAAAUUAGUAGAUAUUAGGAAGAACACCAGUGGCGAAGGCGGCUCACUGGCCCGGUACUGACGCUCAGGUGAGAAAUCGUGGGGAGCAAACAGG
RNAcentral lists this ribosomal RNA (253 nucleotides) under uncultured bacterium. RNAcentral's name for it is "partial 16S ribosomal RNA". It matches the Rfam family "Bacterial small subunit ribosomal RNA", at positions 524 to 776 of the family's 1533-position model. The record is from RNAcentral.